This 306-nucleotide unclassified non-coding RNA is filed under the name plant metagenome. RNAcentral describes it as "partial contains 5.8S ribosomal RNA, internal transcribed spacer 2, and large subunit ribosomal RNA". The stretch from base 1 to 105 matches the Rfam family "5.8S ribosomal RNA", at positions 50 to 154 of the family's 154-position model. The record is from RNAcentral.
GAAAUGCGAUAAGUAAUGUGAAUUGCAGAAUUCAGUGAAUCAUCGAAUCUUUGAACGCACAUUGCGCCCGCCAGUAUUCUGGCGGGCAUGCCUGUCCGAGCGUCAUUUCAACCAUCAAGCCCCCGGGCUUGUGUUGGGGACCUGCGGCUGCCCGCAGGCCCUGAAAACCAGUGGCGGGCUCGCUGUCACACCGAGCGUAGUAGCAAUCACCUCGCUCAGGGCGUGCUGCGGGUUCCGGCCGUUAAACAACCUUACAAAACCCAAGGUUGACCUCGGAUCAGGUAGGAAGACCCGCUGAACUUAAGC